CCCCCAGCAACUAAGGACCGAGGGUAAUCCCACCUAAGGGGGACGAGGGUAAGAAACCCACAGGGGUUGAGAGGGGCUGGGACUUAGAGCGAGGAGCAAACCCAGACCCCUCCCCUGCUUCCUUCCUCUACCACCUUCCCGGGCUAGUAGUGGGCACCCAAGAGCAGGGACAAAGGGUAGCAUCUUAGCUCCCUGCCAAGAAAAGCGCAGGACCCACCAGACUAAAAUCGGCCAUCUUGCCACAGUAACCACCUGGUAA
Molecule: long non-coding RNA, 259 nt
Organism: Chelonia mydas (Green sea turtle)
Lineage: Eukaryota; Metazoa; Chordata; Testudines; Cheloniidae
Exons: 3
Source: RefSeq, a predicted model, not a curated record